GACGAACCGUCCGAACGUUAUUCGGAAUCACUGGGCUUAAAGGGUGCGUAGGCGGCGCGGAAAGUUGGGUGUGAAAUCCCUCGGCUCAACCGAGGAACUGCGCCCAAAACUACCGUGCUCGAGGGAGAUAGAGGUGAGCGGAACUUAGGGUGGAGCGGUGAAAUGCGUUGAUAUCCUAAGGAACACCGGUGGCGAAAGCGGCUCACUGGAUCUCUUCUGACGCUG
Molecule: ribosomal RNA, 225 nt
Filed under: uncultured bacterium
Lineage: Bacteria
Description: partial 16S ribosomal RNA
Rfam family: Bacterial small subunit ribosomal RNA
Source: RNAcentral